Molecule: long non-coding RNA, 4404 nt
Filed under: Sus scrofa (pig)
Lineage: Eukaryota; Metazoa; Chordata; Mammalia; Artiodactyla; Suidae
Description: lncRNA (ENSSSCG00015047992.1)
Source: RNAcentral
GGAUAAUAAGGCAAUUCAUUCAUAUGUUUGUUCUGUCUAUAUAUACCUAUUGAGAGCCUACCCUGUGCCAGGCAAUGUUGAAAGUGCUUAGGAAAUAGGAGUGAACAAAACAGACCUGCACCGAAGGAAAUUACAUUCAAGAGAACCAUAAUUUCUUUCGAACAUGGGAGCAUGUCAAUUCCAGAACUGGUGUUUGUUGGCUUCCCCUUUGAGGUAUAGAGUAUCAUAGUUUGACUGUAAAGUCAUAAACGUGUUUAUUCACCUACCUUUCGUAAUGUUUUACCAUUUUCUGUUAAUUAAGGCCUUUUUAUUUUUACUUCCUGAGAUGAUUUGUGCACAUUAGAGAGGAGUAUUUUCCUCCUUCUCUAAGAGCAUAGAGGUUAGGAACCUUAUUAGCUCUGAAGGGUAAGGAUCUGUUACCUUACUUCACUGCAGAUUACAUGAACCAUGUUAUUUUUACUUUAGAAUUUGAUUAGUUUCCCACCCCAGCCUCCAUAUCCUAUCAUAUAUGAAGUUUGUUUAAUUCAACAUUAAAAAUAAAAACAAAAACAGAAUGGACUGGUAAAGGUCAGUGCAGCUUUUAUUGUCCUAUCGUUCUCUCUAGUUGCCUACGGGAAUUUGAUCUGCCCAUUUCACGAAGGUACAUUCCCGUAACGGCCUUCAGCUAUUAGCUUUUCAUUCCGCUUAUUUCCAUGCAGUUGAGGCAUUCUGGAAGAGCUUGACUAGCAGUUGGUGUCUCUAUUGUCUGUAUUAGAAUGUUGUCAGUAACUUAUUACAGGAUCCUAUUGGAUGGUCUGUGUCCUGCUGUAUCACUUUCCAAGCAGAGGUAUAGGUAAUAAAAAUCUCUAUGACCAGGACCUUGGAUUUGGAUAGUUCAAUUAGUUGUUCAGGAAGUCUAUCAAAAAUGUGACUCCAGGUCCCUGAACUCCAGCAUUUUCAUUAUUAGAGUGAAAUGUUAGUGACAAAUGAGGUAUGAUUGUCUAGACACCUCAUCAGCCUGCUGGCUUGCUGCCUGAAGUAAAGGCACAAUUCUAAAAACGUCAGGGUUUUGAUGGGGUUCUAAACAUGUGACUCAAAACCAAGGCCCAUGAAAAAUGGAGGACAUCAUACUUUUGGGGAAAGUAAUAAAAUUCCAUGGUUCUCCGAAAUUGCAUAGUCAGAAUCAAAGCUAACUAAGUAUGGGUUUCAGAAUGUUAGACAUUAAGGUUUAAGAUGAGUUUUCUUAGUAGGUAUGGUUAUAAAUGCAAGGCUUAUUUUAAGAAAAAAUGAUUGGCAACAAUUUAAGUAGAGUGACAAAGUUUUUAUCUAAAUGUGUUUUAUUAAAGUGUUAUAUUUAAAGUAGUGAUUAACGAAUACUAAUGUUUGUUAUAAAUUUUAUGUGUUUGAAUAGACAUUAAAAGUUAAGUUUGUGCUGAAGUACAUGUGAUUCAUGUACUUACACUAGUGGUUCUGCAUGGGAACGGUAUUGCUCUCUAGGGACAUUUUGGUCAUCUGUGGGGUAAUUUUUGGUUAUGAGGAUGUGGAGGAUACUAUGAGCGUAAAGUAAGCAGAGAUACUCAAUUACGUGAAGAAGAAAAAACAAAUUCUUCCGCCUGAAGACUACACUCCCAUGUUUUAAUACCCACUCAUCAUGUAGCUGGAUAACUUGUUUGAAUAUCUGAGCCUAGACCCUAAUUGCAUUUUACAUGUAAACUGAAAAUAUGUUUUGUAUGGCUUUAAACACAGAAUGACUUUUGCAUAACUACAUCUGUUUUCUAAAGUAAGAGAAAAUGGUGCUUUAUUUGUUUGAAAGUUUACCAACAGCUGGUUUCCAUUUCAUAAAAUCAUUUUACUAAUGGCAAUGCCAGUCACGGUUUUUAGUUACCAACUUAACAUACUGUAGCUUUCUUUCUUUGUAGCCAUUUCAUUCAUGGAGAUUGUAUGUACAUUUACAAAUAUAUGACUGCUUCAUUAUAGAAUGCACAGAAUUGAACAUUUAAAUACUCAUUUUAAGUGAAUUUUUCUUGAUUCCUCUAUAUAUGAGAUAGGCAAGUAAAUUUUUCUGUCAACUAGAUUACAUUGUCUAUAAAUUGCAUUUCAGAUAACACGAGAGAAAAAGUAUGUUGUGAAAAGGAUCCGAGUCCUCUAGAAUUGAGAAUCAUCGAUUUAUGUAUUCUCAAACACAAUGCAGCAAGUAUGCAAAUUGUUGGCAAUUUCUUUGAUGAAAAUACAUGGAUUUUAGAAAAAUCCCCUGGCAAAUUCAAAUCUGUAAAUGGGUAGCAAAAUUUUGAGAUGAAAGGCUGAAAAUAAAUCCUGAAGUUAGCAUAAUUAAUUCUUUAAGCAAUUUCAGCUGCAUAUGUAUUAAAUGCCUCAUUAUGUAAGACACCUUGCUAAAUUCUGGGGAGACAAAGACAAAUAUGAAAUAAUUCACUCCUGCUGGGAGUAAAUAUUCCAGUAGAAGAAGCAGCCAAAUAUCUAAGGACUAUUAAUGCAAUGUAAAUAUCUACUAGAGUUUUUUUACAGUUCUGCGAAUGAAUGAAGAAAUUGAGGGGAAACCUGGUGGUGUAAGGCAUACUUUGAAAACUGUUUAGGGGCUUAUGUUCUGGAAACCCUUAAAUACUAUACUAAAAUAAUGUCCUUAGAACAGAAAGAUGAAAAUAAAAUGCUAUUUUAAAAGAGGAAAUGAUAGCAAGAAAAUAUGUGAUGCUAAAUCAUUGACAGUUUGUUAAUAUGUUUUAAAUGAUUUUCAAAGCAGAGUUUGACAUACACCACACUAGCAUUGCCUAAUUAAGAGGGAAAUUAGGUAAGUUUAAGUGUCUGGCAAAUAUUCUCCUUAAUAAAAUUUGUUAUUGUGAGGUUUUUACAGAAAUAUUAAUGAUAAAGAAUGAACUCUGUAGGACUAGUUAUCAUUACUUGUGAUCUCUAAUGUGUAUUGUGUAAUUUGCAUUUUCCCUGGAGAUUCCAAAAAUCAAAUAUUUAGAGAUUAUUCUACUAUUUAAGCUUAUGGCUAUUUAUAAUUGGGUAUAACACUUAUUUAUACUUUGUACUAUCUGUAAAUACAAAGUUAUCUGGGAUAAUUGCAUAGGUAAACACAUUCCAUAAUUAAAAAUUUUAAAUAAAAAAUGUUUUGAGGCCUUUCAGAGCAAUAUUAAUGGAAAUUCAUUUUUCAUUGUUUAUUAAAGCAAAGCCCACUAAACAGACCUACCUAAUUAGUCUGGUAUUCUUUAGUUGGGUUCUCUGCUCAAAAUCCCAUACGUCUGAAAUCAAGGUGUUGUCUGGCUGUGUCCUGAUAUGGAGGCUUAAGUAAAGAUCUACUUCCAAAUUCAUUCGCCUUUGGCAGAAUCUGUUUCCUUGCAAUAGAAGGACUGAAGUCCUCAGUUUCUUGCCGAUGGUCAGCCAAGAACUGCUCUCAGCACAUAGGGGCCACUUUGAGGUCCUUGCUUUGAAGCCCCUGCCAUUUCAGCAAUGGAGAAACUCUCUCAUCACAUUGCUCUCAGUCUUCAAAUGUCUGAAUUCUUCUACUACCAGCCAGGUAAAAAUUCGGUUUUAAAGAGUUCAUGUGAUUGCCAGAUAAUCUACCUAAGUGAAAUUCAACUGAUUAGUAAUUUUAAUCACAUCUGAAAAAAUUUUUUUCCAUGUAAGGUAACAUAGUUACAAAAGUAACAGUACAGCAUAAUCGUCAUGGUGUCAUUUUACAAUUCAGCCUACAAAUCAAUCUUAUCAAAGUGAAAAUCAGAUUAUAAAGUAUACUUUCUCAUUUAUGUAUUGUUUAUAUUUUAAAAAGCCCUUCUUUUGAAUGUGGUAAUGUAAAAUCAUAGUGGCUAUUCUUAUUGCUAAUUGGUGUAUGUAUAUUUUCUGUAUAGAUGCUUAUUUUUUAAGGUGAUCUUUGAAGAUAUUUCUUUCAUUUAGCUCUUUACUAUCACUUGUUUUAAAUAUUAUUAAGGUUAUCAUUUAAUGAACAAUUUAAAAGCUUCGUUUUAUUUUUCCAAUAAAUUAUUAAAGUGGCAUGCUGUGUUGACAUUAUUAUUUCUGAGAAUUUGCAUUCAUACCACAUUAGUAAUUUUACUAGUUGAACCCAUAGUAACAUUCCAAUUUCAUAUUUAAUAUCCUUUAUGGAAACAGUUGUAGUUUUAUAGUUACAGCCAAAUUCAAUGUAGAAAUAUCCUCCUGAAUCCAUCUAUGGUUCAUAGAAUACUAUAUCUUUUGGAGUUCCUGUUGUGGCACAGCAGACACAAACCUGAUUAGUAUCCAUGAGGAUGCCCAUUUGAUAGCAGGCCUCGCUCAGUGGGUUAAGGAUCAGGUGUUGCCAUGAGCUAUGAUGUAGGUUGCAGACGUGGGUUGGAUUUGGCAUUGCUGUGGCUGUGGUGUAGGCUGGCAGCUACAGCUCCUGAUUUGACCCCUAGCCUGAGAACUUCUGUAUGCUGC